Non-coding RNA from Collinsella sp. CAG:398, 35 nucleotides. Lineage: Bacteria; Bacillati; Actinomycetota; Coriobacteriia; Coriobacteriales; Coriobacteriaceae. The record is from Rfam.
GCCCUGGUCGGUAACCAGGACGAGAUCGUAAGGAG